AGAGCAUAACUCUUCUUUUAUGUAUGGCAUAACCUGUCAUUUCGUGGAAUAUUUAGUCCCGCGUUCUUUUCUCAUUUUUGUGAUGGUAUAGCGUCGCGUCGGUUUCGUUUCAAGUACACCAUCAAGGAAAUCCAGAAUAAGAUGUCCACUCCCUCCCUGCUCCUCUGUUUUUUCUAGGUACACAGGUUUAUACGAUCAUAUUGAGUUUUAUCACAAAACUACAAUUGAUUAUGAACAGUUUGUGUUUCAAAACAUUAAAGAUUUUGAAUUGUGGAAAACGGACAUAGAGCGGAAAGAGUUUUCGCAUUAUGUAAAAUGCAAUUCAGGAUAUAAAUCAAAAACUGAUGACAAGACAAUUUAUUUCGAUUGCCACAGGUCAUAUACAAAUGACCAAAAACCCACUGUACGCUUGUUUACUAAAACGAGCAACAAAACCGGAUAUGCUUGCCCAUCAAGGAUUGGUUGUACUAUUAAUCACAAUGGAACAGUUCAU
Long non-coding RNA from Ctenocephalides felis (cat flea), 493 nucleotides. RefSeq lists it as uncharacterized. NCBI's taxonomy places the organism in Eukaryota, Metazoa, Arthropoda, Insecta, Siphonaptera, Pulicidae. The transcript is spliced from 3 exons. The record is from RefSeq and is a predicted model, not a curated record.